GGCUUGCACAGGUGCUGCAUGGCUGUCGUCAGCUCGUGUCGUGAGAUGUCGGUUAAGUCCGCUAACGAGCGCAACCCUCGCUGUGUGUUAUAUGUGUCACACGGGACUGCCGGUCUUAAGCCGGAGGAAGGUGGGGAUGAUGUCAAGUCAGCAUGGCCUUUAUAUCCUGGGCUACACACACGCUACAAUGGCCAACACAAUAGGUUGCUAAGCCGCGAGGUGGCGCCAAUCCAUAAAGUUGGUCUCAGUUCAGAUUGUAGGCUGCAACCCGCCUGCAUGAAGAUGGAGUUGCUAGUAACCGCAGGUCAGCUAUACUGCGGUGAAUACGUUCCCGGGGCUU
This 340-nucleotide ribosomal RNA is filed under the name uncultured Leptolinea sp. RNAcentral's name for it is "bacterial SSU rRNA". It matches the Rfam family "Bacterial small subunit ribosomal RNA", at positions 1027 to 1382 of the family's 1533-position model. The record is from RNAcentral. Lineage: Bacteria; Bacillati; Chloroflexota; Anaerolineae; Anaerolineales; Anaerolineaceae.